GAUGAACGCUGGCGGCGUGCUUAACACAUGCAAGUCGAACGGAAAGGCCCUGCUCUUGUGGGGUGCUCGAGUGGCGAACGGGUGAGUAUCACGUGAGUAACCCGCCCCUGACUUUGGGAUAAAUUUAGGAAAAUGGGGCUAAUAUAGGAUAGGAGCUCCUACACCACGGUGGGGGUUGGAAAGUUUCGGCGGUUGGGGAUGGUCUCGCGGCUUAUCAGCUAGUUGGGGGGGUAGUGGCUUACCAAGGGUUCGACGGGUAGCCGGCCUGGGCGGGGGGCCGGCGUCAUGGGGACUGAGGUAGGGCCCAGAAGGCUACGGGAGGCAGCAGGGGGGAGUAUUACGCAGUGAGGGGGAGCCUGAUGUGGCGGCGCUGCGUGCGGGAUAACGGCCUACUAGGGAUGAACCGCUUUGGACGGAGACAAAGCGUGCGUGACGGUAAUGGAUAAAGAAGCACCGGCUAACUACGUG
Molecule: ribosomal RNA, 468 nt
Filed under: uncultured bacterium
Lineage: Bacteria
Description: partial 16S ribosomal RNA
Rfam family: Bacterial small subunit ribosomal RNA
Source: RNAcentral